Molecule: ribosomal RNA, 1303 nt
Filed under: Salmonella enterica
Lineage: Bacteria; Pseudomonadati; Pseudomonadota; Gammaproteobacteria; Enterobacterales; Enterobacteriaceae
Description: partial 23S ribosomal RNA
Rfam family: Bacterial large subunit ribosomal RNA
Source: RNAcentral
UAAGUUGCAGGGUAUAGACCCGAAACCCGGUGAUCUAGCCAUGGGCAGGUUGAAGGUUGGGUAACACUAACUGGAGGACCGAACCGACUAAUGUUGAAAAAUUAGCGGAUGACCUGUGGCUGGGGGUGAAAGGCCAAUCAAACCGGGAGAUAGCUGGUUCUCCCCGAAAGCUAUUUAGGUAGCGCCUCGUGAAUUCAUCUCCGGGGGUAGAGCACUGUUUCGGCUAGGGGGCCAUCCCGGCUUACCAACCCGAUGCAAACUGCGAAUACCGGAGAAUGUUAUCACGGGAGACACACGGCGGGUGCUAACGUCCGUCGUGAAGAGGGAAACAACCCAGACCGCCAGCUAAGGUCCCAAAGUCAUGGUUAAGUGGGAAACGAUGUGGGAAGGCCCAGACAGCCAGGAUGUUGGCUUAGAAGCAGCCAUCAUUUAAAGAAAGCGUAAUAGCUCACUGGUCGAGUCGGCCUGCGCGGAAGAUGUAACGGGGCUAAACCAUGCACCGAAGCUGCGGCAGCGAACGUAUCACCCAAGACAACUUUACGGAGUUGACGAUUGACGGAGCGAAGCGACGUCAAAGCGUUCAUUAAAGUCAAGUUGGCUUAGGGAUACGUUCGUUGGGUAGGGGAGCGUUCUGUAAGCCUGUGAAGGUGUGUCGUGAGGCAUGCUGGAGGUAUCAGAAGUGCGAAUGCUGACAUAAGUAACGAUAAAGCGGGUGAAAAGCCCGCUCGCCGGAAGACCAAGGGUUCCUGUCCAACGUUAAUCGGGGCAGGGUGAGUCGACCCCUAAGGCGAGGCCGAAAGGCGUAGUCGAUGGGAAACGGGUUAAUAUUCCCGUACUUGGUGUUACUGCGAAGGGGGGACGGAGAAGGCUAUGUUGGCCGGGCGACGGUUGUCCCGGUUUAAGCGUGUAGGUGUGUGUUCCAGGUAAAUCCGGUUCACUUUAACACUGAGGCGUGACGACGAGGCACUACGGUGCUGAAGCAACAAAUGCCCUGCUUCCAGGAAAAGCCUCUAAGCAUCAGGUAACACGAAAUCGUACCCCAAACCGACACAGGUGGUCAGGUAGAGAAUACCAAGGCGCUUGAGAGAACUCGGGUGAAGGAACUAGGCAAAAUGGUGCCGUAACUUCGGGAGAAGGCACGCUGACACGUAGGUGAAGUGAUUUACUCAUGGAGCUGAAGUCAGUCGAAGAUACCAGCUGGCUGCAACUGUUUAUUAAAAACACAGCACUGUGCAAACACGAAAGUGGACGUAUACGGUGUGACGCCUGCCCGGUGCCGGAAGGUUAAUUGAUGGGGUCAGCG